Molecule: ribosomal RNA, 497 nt
Filed under: uncultured bacterium
Lineage: Bacteria
Description: partial 16S ribosomal RNA
Rfam family: Bacterial small subunit ribosomal RNA
Source: RNAcentral
GAUGAACGCUGGCGGCGUGCCUAAUACAUGCAAGUCGAGCGAACAGACGAGGAGCUUGCUCCUCUGACGUUAGCGGCGGACGGGUGAGUAACACGUGGAUAACCUACCUAUAAGACUGGGAUAACUUCGGGAAACCGGAGCUAAUACCGGAUAAUAUAUUGAACCGCAUGGUUCAAUAGUGAAAGACGGUUUUGCUGUCACUUAUAGAUGGAUCCGCGCCGCAUUAGCUAGUUGGUAAGGUAACGGCUUACCAAGGCAACGAUGCGUAGCCGACCUGAGAGGGUGAUCGGCCACACUGGAACUGGAACACGGUCCAGACUCCUACGGGAGGCAGCAGUAGGGAAUCUUCCGCAAUGGGCGAAAGCCUGACGGAGCAACGCCGCGUGAGUGAUGAAGGUCUUCGGAUCGUAAAACUCUGUUAUUAGGGAAGAACAAAUGUGUAAGUAACUAUGCACGUCUUGACGGUACCGAAUCAGAAAGCCACGGCUAACUACGUG